This 67-nucleotide transfer RNA is filed under the name Hexanchus nakamurai (bigeye sixgill shark). RNAcentral's name for it is "tRNA-Pro". The record is from RNAcentral. Lineage: Eukaryota; Metazoa; Chordata; Chondrichthyes; Hexanchiformes; Hexanchidae.
AGUACAUGUACUAAAUAUCCGCAGGGGAUAGUUUAGGUAGAAUUUCAGCUUUGGGAGCUGAGGGCAA